Anopheles arabiensis is the source of this 1218-nucleotide RNA transcript. RefSeq lists it as uncharacterized. The transcript is spliced from 5 exons. NCBI's taxonomy places the organism in Eukaryota, Metazoa, Arthropoda, Insecta, Diptera, Culicidae. The record is from RefSeq and is a predicted model, not a curated record.
UCAGUCUCGCCGAUUGACGCGCCGAUCGUGGACGGGUUUUUUCGUAGCUCUCGUAGCAACUGCGUGUGUGUGUGGUUCAUUAUCGCCAUCCUGUCAGUUAUCAGUGGUGGAAGGUUUUCUGCACUACCAAAACUCCACCGACCAGUGCUGCCAGUGUUGCCGAUCUCACCAUCCUGUCACUGUGCUGCGAGUGAGUCCUGUAAAAAAAUGUGAAUAAAAAUAACGCGUGAAAGUGUACCGAAACGGCCGGAAAAUGUCAUCCGUUUGGCCGUCACGACGCCACGGUCCUUUAGAAGUCCCAGUAGUAGACAACAGCCGCAGGAAUAGAUACCAAGCAGAAGCAACCGAAAGCAGCAGCAGCAGCACCUCUGCAGUGUAGUGAAAUGUGGUAAAAAGUGGUGAAAGGCAAUGUUUGCGAAACAAGCGAGCUAGAUUGUGUUUCACGGUGGUAGUCAGCGCGACUCAGUGCCAUAUUUUCCGGCAAGUUGUCGGUCAUUGUUAGCACAAAAAACCUGCCUCACGGUGAUCGAUUGUAUUUGUGUCGUGCGCGCCAGGUUCGCGAGUGUGUAUGUAUAUUUAUGAGUAAGUGUUCGGGGGUGCUGGGGUGCCGGUACGUGGUGUGCUUUUUAGUUUUGCUGGUUGCCCCUCGUCGGGAAGGAAUGGUAAAUUGGCAUUUUUGGAGCGUGUGCGGCAUUAGUUAUUUUCGGUGGAGUGAAUAAAAAAUAAACCAACACAAAAACGCAACAUCCAUAUUUCGGACGAGCGCUCGGACGGACGGAUGGGUUGUUUGCAAUAACGUGUAGUGAGGGCGGGAUAGAGAGUGCGCGAAAGGGAACGCAAGAGAAGACAGCGAGAGCAAUUGUAGCGCAGUGUCUCAUCGUCUGCUGCCCAGCAUAGCUUCAAACCCAACGUGCAGGGGAAAACUUCAAACCGAAACCAUUGCACUUGCAAAUGGUACGUACUGCUUGCUUACUCUACAGCAACAAAUAAUCGUUUUAAACACACAAAAGAAAUAACUUGUGCAAACAAACGCUGCCGGGGCAUCCAUUAUGUGCUUAAAAACGAUGCGAACUGAUUAAUGCGAAACAUUGUUUUCCGCACUGUGUAACUUUCGCAUUUUCCACGUCCCUACCAUCGUCCAAUCGACCCAAACCGGUGUCUCGAGGAGCGCAGUCUGCAUUCAACAUUACCGCCAGGCUAUUGCAAACCAUUCCAGCC